GCAGAACGCGAAGAACCUUACCCACCUUUGACAUGUACGGAAGUUGCCAGAGAUGGCUUCGUGCUCGAAAGAGAGCCGUAACACAGGUGCUGCAUGGCUGUCGUCAGCUCGUGUCGUGAGAUGUUGGGUUAAGUCCCGCAACGAGCGCAACCCUUGUCAUUAGUUGCUACGAAAGGGCACUCUAAUGAGACUGCCGGUGACAAACCGGAAGAAGGUGGGGAUGACGUCAAGUCCUCAUGGCCCUUAUAGGUGGGGCUACACACGUCAUACAAUGGCCGGUACAAAGGGCAGCCAACCCGCGAGGGGGAGCUAAUCCCAUAAAGCCGGUCGUAGUCCGGAUCGCAGUCUGCAACUCGACUGCGUGAAGUCGGAAUCGCUAGUAAUCGUGGAUCAGCAUGUCACGGUGAAUACGUUCCCGGGUCUUGUACACACCG
This 434-nucleotide ribosomal RNA is filed under the name uncultured bacterium. Its description in RNAcentral is "bacterial SSU rRNA". It matches the Rfam family "Bacterial small subunit ribosomal RNA", at positions 954 to 1392 of the family's 1533-position model. The record is from RNAcentral.